This 446-nucleotide ribosomal RNA is filed under the name uncultured bacterium. Its description in RNAcentral is "partial 16S ribosomal RNA". It matches the Rfam family "Bacterial small subunit ribosomal RNA", at positions 338 to 795 of the family's 1533-position model. The record is from RNAcentral.
CCUACGGGGUGCAGCAGUCGAGAAUCAUUCACAAUGGGGGAAACCCUGAUGGUGCGACGCCGCGUGGGGGAAUGAAGGUCUUCGGAUUGUAAACCCCUGUCAUGUGGGAGCAAAUUAAAAAGAUAGUACCACAAGAGGAAGAGACGGCUAACUCUGUGCCAGCAGCAGCGGUAAUACAGAGGUCUCAAGCGUUGUUCGGAAUCACUGGGCGUAAGGCGUGCGUAGGCUGUUUCGUAAGUCGUGUGUGAAAGGCGCGGGCUCAACCCGCGGACGGCACAUGAUACUGCGAGACUAGAGUAAUGGAGGGGGAACCGGAAUUCUCGGUGUAGCAGUGAAAUGCGUAGAGAUCGAGAGGAACACUCGUGGCGAAGGCGGGUUCCUGGACAUUAACUGACGCUGAGGCACGAAGGCCAGGGGAGCGAAAGGGAUUAGAUACCCCUGUAGUC